AUACGUAGGUCCCGAGCGUUGUCCGGGAUUUAUUGGGCGUAAAGCGAGCGCAGGCGGUUUGAUAAGUCUGAAGUUAAAGGCUGUGGCUCAACCAUAGUUCGCUUUGGAAACUGUCAAACUUGAGUGCAGAAGGGGAGAGUGGAAUUCCAUGUGUAGCGGUGAAAUGCGUAGAUAUAUGGAGGAACACCGGUGGCGAAAGCGGCUCUCUGGUCUGUAACUGACGCUGAGGCUCGAAAGCGUGGGGAGC
This 247-nucleotide ribosomal RNA is filed under the name uncultured bacterium. RNAcentral describes it as "partial 16S ribosomal RNA". It matches the Rfam family "Bacterial small subunit ribosomal RNA", at positions 523 to 769 of the family's 1533-position model. The record is from RNAcentral.